This 515-nucleotide ribosomal RNA is filed under the name uncultured bacterium. RNAcentral's name for it is "partial 16S ribosomal RNA". It matches the Rfam family "Bacterial small subunit ribosomal RNA", at positions 28 to 523 of the family's 1533-position model. The record is from RNAcentral.
GAUGAACGCUGGCGGCGUGCCUAAUACAUGCAAGUCGAGCGAAUGGAUUAAGAGCUUGCUCUUAUGAAGUUAGCGGCGGACGGGUGAGUAACACGUGGGUAACCUGCCCAUAAGACUGGGAUAACUCCGGGAAACCGGGGCUAAUACCGGAUAACAUUUUGAACCGCAUGGUCUGAAAUUGAAAGGCGGCUUCGGCUGUCACUUAUGGAUGGACCGGCGUCGCAUUAGCUAGUUGGUGAGGUAACGGCUCACCAAGGCAACGAUGCGUAGCCGACCUGAGAGGGUGAUCGGCCACACUGGGACUGAGACACGGCCCAGACUCCUACGGGAGGCAGCAGUAGGGAAUCUUCCGCAAUGGACGAAAGUCUGACGGAGCAACGCCGCGUGAGUGAUGAAGGCUUUCGGGUCGUAAAACUCUGUUGUUAGGGAAGAACAAGUGCUAGUUGAAUAAGCUGGCACCUUGACGGUACCUAACCAGAAAGCCACGGCUAACUACGUGCCAGCAGCCGCAGUAA